Pygocentrus nattereri (red-bellied piranha) is the source of this 616-nucleotide long non-coding RNA. RefSeq lists it as uncharacterized. The transcript has 3 exons. The record is from RefSeq and is a predicted model, not a curated record. NCBI's taxonomy places the organism in Eukaryota, Metazoa, Chordata, Actinopteri, Characiformes, Serrasalmidae.
CGAGCCCAAUGGACGUAGACGUGGUGUAAAAUGCUUAUUUUGGCUUCCAUGCGAUUCUUCCACAAGCAAACGGUGAAACUGAUACGAAUGAGGAGUAUGAAGAGAGAAAAAACAGGCGUCAGGAGGUUCACAGCGGCCACAUGAUGACGGUUUAAAGUUUGCCACGAAUGAACAUGUCAGGGUUAACACGCCGCCCAUGAUCUCCAUUCGGCGCCUCGUCGCUGACGGCCCUGUAACUUUGCUACGGCCACAAAUUUACAAAGACCUAAACAUUAGUAGACGACAUUUUACACCGCCUGUAAGUAACGCUACAGUUCGGGGGCCCCACCGACUAGGACUGGAAGGCACUGACAAAAUGGCAUUCGUCCCCGGCACGAGUAAGACUGAGAAUUACAUAAGGACGUCCUCAGCCCGUUCAGCUGAACCAAAUCAGGAGACAUGCAGACACGCUGGCAAGAGCAGUGGUGCAGUGGGCAUGUCCAUCCUUGAUUUUCAAUCAGGGGCAGUUUGCCAUUUAAUUCUACUAACACACCUGGAGCGAUUCCUCCCCACCAGUCUACAAACAAUGCUUCACAAUGCGUGGAAGGAUGGACAGAAACACCUCUGCAUUUUUUUC